Molecule: long non-coding RNA, 1097 nt
Organism: Carassius auratus (goldfish)
Lineage: Eukaryota; Metazoa; Chordata; Actinopteri; Cypriniformes; Cyprinidae
Exons: 3
Source: RefSeq, a predicted model, not a curated record
GACGUACUGAGGGGAUUUCAGCCGAGGAGAAGAGGGCCGGUCCAGUGACAAGAGAUCCUAAUCACAGCAGCCGAGAAAACAUCUACACGUGUGAGGAACGAAGGAGAAAAAGAGAAAUGAAGAUGUAGGCUCGACGUCUGAGACGCAGAAGGAUCCGAGCGUCUGUCUGCUGACCUCAUGUUAUUUCUGUUCUGUUUCUUAUGCAACGAACGAGCAGAAGCAGCACUCCAGGAGACUGAAGGACGCUGCUGGAGGUCAAAGGUCAAACCAGACGAACCGCUCUAUUGUUGCGGCCGAAGAAAAAGCCUUUCAUUUGAAGAACCUUGACUCACACUGCUUCCAUGAGAGCUGUUAUCAUAGGCAGAGCUCUACAGGAAACUCUGUUUAUCACUUCCUUUCAGUCGUAGUUUGUUUAGGGCUUCGUUGUGUGAUCAGAUUGCAGAGAGAGAGCGACGCAUCGGAGGAGAACACCCACAGGAGCUGCUAUCAGCCGCCGCAUAUGUCUGUGUGUAUGAAAACACGCUCUAUCACAGGACGACAGAUCGCUCGCUGUCUCGUUCAACUACAGCUUUUUGUAGAGUGUGAGGGAUUUGGAAAGAGGGGAGCGUUUCACUUCUGCUUUCUAAAUGAGCUGAGAGCAUUCAGCCAAGACACGGUCAUUUCAGAACGGAGGAGAGGUACAUCGUUGCACACUCAAACAGAGAGCGUUCAGAGAAGUGAUCCGUCUGUCUGCGAGUGUGUGUGUGUGUGUGUGUGUGUGUGUGGCUGCAUAUAGUGCAUUGUCAGUGCAGAUAUAUGGGCACUUAAUGACACAACACAGAAAAGCAGAACAGACAAUUGGACCCGUUUUAAUCAUCUGAUAAAUUUCCUUUUCGGACUGAUGCAACAUGUGGGUAAUUAAAAGAAAUAAACGAGGAAUUCUUCAUUAGAGAGCAGCUUCAUUCGUGUCAAUGGCUGCUGCUCGGCUGGAGCAGGACCCGCUGGAAACAGGGACAGAGCCAUGGGACUUUCUGAGCCAAUCAGCUGAGGCGUUAAUGUCAUGUGACUGUUCACUCUGCACCCCUCUCAAAGUUGUAAAUAAAACCAGGAUUAUUGGA